This 579-nucleotide ribosomal RNA is filed under the name uncultured Pseudomonadota bacterium. RNAcentral describes it as "bacterial SSU rRNA". It matches the Rfam family "Bacterial small subunit ribosomal RNA", at positions 8 to 564 of the family's 1533-position model. Lineage: Bacteria; Pseudomonadati; Pseudomonadota. The record is from RNAcentral.
AGAGUUUGAUCCUGGCUCAGGACGAACGCUGGCGGCGUGCUUAAGACAUGCAAGUCGUACGAGAAAGCCUCUUCGGAGGUUAGUAAAGUGGCGCACGGGUGAGUAACGCGUGGGUAAUCUGCCCUUUGGUUUGGGAUAACCCCGGGAAACCGGAGCUAAUACCGAAUAAGACCACGAUGACUUCGGUCGAUGUGGGAAAAGAUGGCCUCUUCUUGAAAGCUAUCACCGAUGGAUGAGCCCGCGUUUGAUUAGCUUGUUGGUGAGGUAAAAGCUCACCAAGGCUACGAUCAAUAGCUGGUCUGAGAGGACGAUCAGCCACACUGGAACUGAGACACGGUCCAGACUCCUACGGGAGGCAGCAGUCGGGAAUAUUGGGCAAUGGGCGAAAGCCUGACCCAGCAACGCCGCGUGAAGGAUGAAGGCCCUAGGGUCGUAAACUUCUGUCGAGAGGGAAGAAUGCUUGCGGGUAAAUAAUCCGUAAGUUUGACGGUACCUCCAAAGGAAGCACCGGCUAACUCCGUGCCAGCAGCCGCGGUAAUACGGAGGGUGCAAGCGUUGUUCGGAUUUAUUGGGCGUAAA